This 74-nucleotide transfer RNA is filed under the name Saprospiraceae bacterium. RNAcentral describes it as "tRNA-Ile". It matches the Rfam family "tRNA". Rfam says of the family: Transfer RNA (tRNA) molecules are approximately 80 nucleotides in length. Their secondary structure includes four short double-helical elements and three loops (D, anti-codon, and T loops). Lineage: Bacteria; Pseudomonadati; Bacteroidota; Saprospiria; Saprospirales; Saprospiraceae. The record is from RNAcentral.
GGGCCUAUAGCUCAGUUGGUUAGAGCAUCUGACUCAUAAUCAGAGGGUCUGGGGUUCGAGUCCCUGUGGGCCCA